RNAcentral lists this transfer RNA (73 nucleotides) under Cricetulus griseus (Chinese hamster). It matches the Rfam family "tRNA". Rfam says of the family: Transfer RNA (tRNA) molecules are approximately 80 nucleotides in length. Their secondary structure includes four short double-helical elements and three loops (D, anti-codon, and T loops). Lineage: Eukaryota; Metazoa; Chordata; Mammalia; Rodentia; Cricetidae. The record is from Rfam by way of RNAcentral.
UGGGGUAUAGCUUAGUUGGUAGAGUGUUUGCCUAGCAUGCAUGAGAGCAUGGUUUCAAUUCUCAGUACUACAU